Molecule: transfer RNA, 72 nt
Filed under: Gelidium elegans
Lineage: Eukaryota; Rhodophyta; Florideophyceae; Gelidiales; Gelidiaceae
Also listed under: 1 other name
Description: tRNA-His
Rfam family: tRNA
About the family: Transfer RNA (tRNA) molecules are approximately 80 nucleotides in length. Their secondary structure includes four short double-helical elements and three loops (D, anti-codon, and T loops).
Source: RNAcentral
GCGAAGAGAGCUUGAAGGUUGAGCGCUAGAUUGUGAAUCUAGAGGUUAUGGGUUCGAAUCCCAUUCUUCGCC